Molecule: transfer RNA, 83 nt
Filed under: Xylaria arbuscula
Lineage: Eukaryota; Fungi; Ascomycota; Sordariomycetes; Xylariales; Xylariaceae
Description: tRNA-Glu
Rfam family: tRNA
About the family: Transfer RNA (tRNA) molecules are approximately 80 nucleotides in length. Their secondary structure includes four short double-helical elements and three loops (D, anti-codon, and T loops).
Source: RNAcentral
UCCGAAUUGGUGUAGUGGCCAACAUUUGACGCUCUCAACUUAACAGUACCGUCAAGCCCGGGGUUCGAUUCCCCGAUUCGGAG